Molecule: ribosomal RNA, 253 nt
Filed under: uncultured bacterium
Lineage: Bacteria
Description: partial 16S ribosomal RNA
Rfam family: Bacterial small subunit ribosomal RNA
Source: RNAcentral
GACAGAGGUGGCUAGCGUUGUUCGGUGUCACUGGGCUUAAAGGGUGUGUAGGCGGAAUUGUAAGCAUCGUGUUAAAGCCCCCGGCUUAACCGGGGAAUCGCUCGAUGGACUGCAAUUCUUGAGGCAAGUAGGGGUGCACGGAACUCUUGGUGGAGCGGUGGAAUGCGUAGAUAUCAAGAGGAACGCCGGUGGUGAAGACGGUGCACUAGGCUUGUCCUGACGCUGAGACACGAAAGCGUGGGGAGCAAACGGG